RNAcentral lists this ribosomal RNA (468 nucleotides) under uncultured bacterium. RNAcentral describes it as "partial 16S ribosomal RNA". It matches the Rfam family "Bacterial small subunit ribosomal RNA", at positions 28 to 507 of the family's 1533-position model. The record is from RNAcentral.
GAUGAACGCUGGCGGCGUGCUUAACACAUGCAAGUCGAACGGAAAGGCCCAAGCUUGCUUGGGUACUCGAGUGGCGAACGGGUGAGUAACACGUGGGUGAUCUGCCCUGCACUUCGGGAUAAGCCUGGGAAACUGGGUCUAAUACCGGAUAGGACGAUGGUUUGGAUGCCAUUGUGGAAAGUUUUUUCGGUGUGGGAUGAGCUCGCGGCCUAUCAGCUUGUUGGUGGGGUAAUGGCCUACCAAGGCGUCGACGGGUAGCCGGCCUGAGAGGGUGUACGGCCACAUUGGGACUGAGACACGGCCCAGACUCCUACGGGAGGCAGCAGUGGGGAAUAUUGCACAAUGGGCGCAGGCCUGAUGCAGCGACGCCGCGUGGGGGAUGACGGCCUUCGGGUUGUAAACUCCUUUCGCUAGGGACGAAGCGUUUUUGUGACGGUACCUGGAGAAGAAGCACCGGCUAACUACGUG